This is a transfer RNA of Camelus ferus (Wild Bactrian camel), 73 nucleotides long. It matches the Rfam family "tRNA". Rfam says of the family: Transfer RNA (tRNA) molecules are approximately 80 nucleotides in length. Their secondary structure includes four short double-helical elements and three loops (D, anti-codon, and T loops). Further hydrogen bonds mediate the characteristic L-shaped molecular structure. tRNAs have two regions of fundamental functional importance: the anti-codon, which is responsible for specific mRNA codon recognition, and the 3' end, to which the tRNAs corresponding amino acid is attached (by aminoacyl-tRNA synthetases). tRNAs cope with the degeneracy of the genetic code in two manners: having more than one tRNA (with a specific anti-codon) for a particular amino acid; and 'wobble' base-pairing, i.e. permitting non-standard base-pairing at the 3rd anti-codon position. NCBI's taxonomy places the organism in Eukaryota, Metazoa, Chordata, Mammalia, Artiodactyla, Camelidae. The record is from Rfam.
GAGGGUAUAGCUCAAGUGGUAGAGCACAUGCUUAGCAUGCAUGAGGUCCUGGGUUCAAUCCCCAGUACCUCCU